This 662-nucleotide long non-coding RNA is filed under the name Lucilia cuprina (Australian sheep blowfly). Its description in RNAcentral is "uncharacterized LOC124420835, transcript variant X3". The record is from RNAcentral. Lineage: Eukaryota; Metazoa; Arthropoda; Insecta; Diptera; Calliphoridae.
UCUGUAAAGAUAAAAUUUAAGAAUUUAAUAAGAACAAGCAUUAGACGAUAUAAAACAAUGUGAUUGAGUUUAUAGAAAGAAGAAGAAGAAGAAUGAAGAAAGGAAGAAAAACGAAGAAGAAGAAAAAACAUUUUUGAAAAAAAAAUCAAUAAAAAAAACUAUUUAAUCAACAUUUAAAUGAAACGACACAACGACGACGAUGUUGAUGGUCUCAUCUCUUAUUCUUCGCACAGAGCGCAACAACUGGGAAACAAACAAAAACGAUGACAACAAAAACAACAAGGCAAAUAAAUUAACUAAUAAUGAUGAGAAUAACUCUGCUGGCCUUUAAACUUUUCGUUGGCAAUUACACCAUAAUUUGCAAACCCAUUGAACGGUAUUGCGGGCGGCGAGCACAGACACAUUAACUGGAAGUGGGAAUGAUUCAUGGUGUCUAAUUAAAAAAAUAUUAUACAAAGUAGAACAACAAUAUGCUUGGCAUGCAUAUACUAAUAACAACAUACUACUAAAUAAGCAAUGAAUGAGUAUGUCACUUUUAAACAAUGUAUCCAUGCGGAUAAAAAUAUUAUAUAUGGUCUAGCCAGCCGUUUGCUCAAAUAUCCCAAAAAUAAAAUUUCUUUAUCUUCCACAAUCACUUAAAAAUGUAUUUCAUACUUUUUUUG